UCGAGAAUCUUCGGCAAUGGACGCAAGUCUGACCGAGCGAUGCCGCGUGCGGGACGAAGGCCUUCGGGUUGUAAACCGCUGUCAGUAGUUAGGAAAUCCCAUGGGGUUCUCUCCAUGGGUUGACCGAUCUUCAGAGGAAGGACGGGCUAAGUUCGUGCCAGCAGCCGCGGUAAGACGAACCGUCCAAACGUUAUUCGGUAUCACUGGGCUUAAAGCGUGCGUAGGCGGCUUGGUAGGUGAGAUGUGAAAGCCCACGGCUCAACCGUGGAAUUGCGUUUCAAACCCCCAAGCUCGAGGAAGAUAGGGGUGAUCGGAACUUAUGGUGGAGCGGUGAAAUGCGUUGAUAUCAUAGGGAACACCGGUGGCGAAAGCGGAUCACUGGAUCUUUUCUGACGCUGAGGCACGAAAGCUAGGGUAGCGAACGGGAUUAGAUACCCGCGUAGUCC
RNAcentral lists this ribosomal RNA (446 nucleotides) under uncultured prokaryote. Its description in RNAcentral is "bacterial SSU rRNA". It matches the Rfam family "Bacterial small subunit ribosomal RNA", at positions 355 to 796 of the family's 1533-position model. The record is from RNAcentral.